Long non-coding RNA from Bubalus bubalis (water buffalo), 579 nucleotides. RefSeq lists it as uncharacterized. The transcript has 3 exons. NCBI's taxonomy places the organism in Eukaryota, Metazoa, Chordata, Mammalia, Artiodactyla, Bovidae. The record is from RefSeq and is a predicted model, not a curated record.
UGCUCCCGGCUUGCCUUGCUGUCCCCGCUGGAAUCAGCAGACCCUGACUUUUGGAGAAGCGUUACUGCGAUGUGUCAGCUGCUCCGGCAGAGCCAAGAGUGAUGUAUUCCAAGACCUGUCAGGAGAAAGGGUUUACGGAGUGACCAUCCUGUGGCUACAACUCUCAAGACUGUUGUUUUAGCAAAACCCAAAUGGAACUGAUCCAGGUGUUUGGAUUGAGUUGGUCCUGGUCCCUGCUCCCCUCCCCCAAAUCUCUGAAACCACAGAUUUUUGUCCAAAGGGUGAUGUGGGGGUGUAGCACUCUGCCCACCUGGAAACAACCCCAAGGAUCUGGCCUGAGGGAGCCGGCCCUGGGCUGGGGAGCCCCAGGCCAAGGGCUGGGGGUGGGGGUGCUCCUGAGGGGGGUUGGGGGGAAAGGGUAGAAUUCCUGAGACAAGAACCCUCUAUGGAGACAGCCCGCUGGGCUUCCAGCCCUCCAUCUGGGUUCCACUAAAAACACAUUUUGCGUGUUUCUGUUGUUCUUAAGUCUGGGUUUAUUUCAAGGGGAAAAUUAUAAAGAAACAUCUCUGCCUUUAUUUC